CAGCAGCGGCCGCCGAGUCUGAUGAGUACAAAUUGAAAGAGGGGAAGUUUAGGUUGGGUAUUGGAGGAAGUUCUUUACUGUCAGGGUGGUGAGGUCGCUGGAACAGGAAGGUUGUGAAGUGCCCGAAGCCAUGGUGGCCUGUAGAGCCGGGCUGGAUAAGGCCUUGAGCAAUCUGGGUCUAGUGGGCGGUGUCCCUGCCCGUGGCAGGAAAGGGGUUGGGACUGGAUGCCCGCUAAGGUCCGUUCCAGACCUUUAACCUGUGAUUCCGUGAUCCCACCGUGUGGAUCCGCAGCGAUCCGUGUGAUUCGUCAGCCGCCCGACCUGCGCCGUGCUCCUUGGAGCAGGUCCUGCCUCGGCAGUGCUCGUCUGAACAGUCGAGCACCUCUGCCCUUCUCAGAGGAAUUAGAAAUGCUCCUGGGUGGUUAAUGUGAGAAAUCCCGACAUGGCAGGUCAAAGCAAUGGCUGUAAUGUCAGGAAUUGCAGGGAUGGUUUCAGGUGCUUUUCUAAACAGCCAAAGCUGUCACUUGAAAGAGGAGUGAUUGUCACGCUGCCGUGGCUGUGCCUGUGUUUCCCCUGGGCGCUGGGGUGGCGCAGUUCAGGCUGACACUCCAGCCACACAGGCUGCCCAGGAGAGCCGGUGCCGUGGGACACCGAGAUGGACCUAAUUACUGUGUGCCAUGCGGUGGUUACUUCGAGCUGUCUCCUGGCUCAUCAAGUCUUGAAAGGAAUGACAGAUUGGACAUUCAGAGACACUUGGUUUUGCUGACAGAUCGUUUUCAUCAGCAAAUGCCUGUCAUAAUUCAAAAGAUAAAUUACCUUUUUUUCCUUUAGGGAAUUGGGCAAGGGCUGUGAGGUGACCCAGACUGUGCCCUUGUUCGGGUUAUAGUCACAGAUCCAAACUGGUGGGGUCUGGCAGGGACAGGGCCCCAGGAGUAUCAGCAGCCUCUGGGAUAAUGCUCUCUUGCAUUACAGACUGCGGUGUGAGUGCUGACCUCAGUUCAACUGGUGGUCAAAACAUCACUGAGUUCCCCAGAGUGCCGCAUGUGAAUUGGGGUUAAAGGCUGUACCCUGCCAGGGUGCUCCUCUCCCCAGCCUGGCUGGUCAUUAGGAGCACUGUACUUGUCCUGCAAUUAGUCAUUCCUCACACCAGAGCUUGUUUUAGGAAAGUGGUCAUGCCUCUGCUUAACCUUGAUCCCAGCUGAUGCUCUGUGCCAGGCAGAAAGUGAAGCUCAAGAUGAGUUUGUUACUGGCUUUGGGAAUCCUCAGUCUGGACUCGGCCAUGCCUUGCAAGCAGAAAGAUGCCACGUGAAUUUUGGAGCUGCAGAAGUUCUGUGACAUCAGAUGACCACCUCCACUGUCUUCCAGCCUUGUGUGUGCACACAGGGCCAACAGAAGAGUCCACUCACUUCUAGAAGUGUGGGUGUUUAAGGAGCUUGAAAACAGAAGCCUGGAAUGUGGAGCUCUAAUGUCCUUGGAAAUGCUUCCAUUGCCUUUCCUGCUCAUCAGAAAUACUGCUUGGUUCCAUAGUACGGCAGGGGAGUAGCUGUUCACUGAAAAUGAAUAAUCCUGGAAUGAAGUUUGGUGUAGUGUGUCACUCUAGAAAGAGAAGUGGCCUUCUGGGCAGUCUUAGAACUUAGUAUGAUUUUUUGAGUGUAUCAAAUAAAUGGAUCAAAAGUGAAUAAAGCAAAGAUUAAAAUGUGGGAAAAUUUGCGUUGUCUAAAUGAGUGUUUACAGUGUUAGUAGUGGGUAUGAAUAAAAUCUUGGAUUUCUGUUGUCA
Molecule: long non-coding RNA, 1777 nt
Organism: Vidua macroura (Pin-tailed whydah)
Lineage: Eukaryota; Metazoa; Chordata; Aves; Passeriformes; Viduidae
Exons: 4
Source: RefSeq, a predicted model, not a curated record